GGCCUCGGGUGGGAGGGAGGGGGGUGUGUGUGCUCCUCCAGCCUGGCUUCUGGCCAGGUUGCCGUGGUGGCCAUAAAAAGCAAGGUUUGGGGUCAGUCGGUGUCUGGAUGUGGCUGAACAGAAAGGGUUUCUUCACAUGGUGCUGCCUUGGUGUGCUGGCAGCUAAUGAGGUCUCCCACUCGUUCAAAAACGCAGUCUGUUUGCUCCUCAAGGCACUCAUCCUUCCUACAAAAUUAAGUUCUCAUUCUUCAGGUAUUACAGGUUAACGGUAGAAAUAAGGAGAAAGUAAGUGACUCAUCCUCCCUAACUACAGCCAUCCAGAAAGAAAAGGAAAAUCCAGAGGCUGGAGAAAGCAGGCAGGUGUUUUAUGAGCCUGGAAAUUGCCCGUGUCAACCUGCCCAAAGGUACCAGCUCCUCACACAGUAUGUGAUCAACAGCAACAGUGGAUAAGGCCUGCUAACUACCAAGGAGGCAGACUAAAAUUCACUGAUGUUAAUUUCCUCCAUUCCAGAUUUGAGAAUUGAGAAUAUUAAUCAUGAUGAUUAAUCUUAUUGACCAGAGGAACUGUUGAAUUAAACGGAGGAAGCUAUUGCUGCAGUUAGUAAUUACAAAACAUGUAACUAAAAAGAGGCUCUGAGAAUCACCUGCACUUCCAGCUUCACAGAGGGGAUCCCAGAAGCUACCGGCAGGAGGAUUAAAAGGCAGAAAGGCCAAUGGAACCAGCAGGAUCUAUUAUGUCACAGGUGUUUUACAUCAGCAUCAGGGGCUGCUGCCACACCAGCGCUGGUGCUGCACACUUCUCAGAGUUGCCCUUUUGGUUUUGGGAUGCUAACCGUUGCCUCUUUUGAAGGAACUAGCAUGUGGAAGGCACAUCUCAGAUGCAGAGCUUUAUUUUGGUAUAAUUGCAUUGGAUAACGUGGAAGAAGAUGCUAUAGGACUGUUAAUCCUUGAGAAGGAAAACUGCUAUACUGCUCCUAACAGCUUAACUGCCUUUGUGUAUGUAGGAGGAUAUCCAUAGACAAGCAGAAAAUAUCAAGAUACCUAUUGUUUGCUUAUUUCAUAUUUUGUAUUAACAAAAGCAGAAGAAAAGGUAGGAAAGAUUUGUGGUCCUAAAAAUAUUCAACUAAGAAUGAAUGAACAAAUGCAUGAAUGAAAAUUCAUCCACAUUAAAACUACGCAUUCAUGUUUCUCAGGACUGAGAUGAUGAUAAUCUGUUUAUGUCACAGAUGUGGGCAAAAGUAGUUAUCAAAAUCGUUGACAAUUUUACUUUACAUGCCAAAUAGGAAGUACAAUUCCAACAUAACUGUUAUGCAUUCAGAUGAGUGUAUAUAUUUAUAAGAGUUAAGAAUAACAUUCAUGAAAAUUCAUCCUUUGCCAUACACCCCUGGAAAUCAACUUUGCUUUGUCAUCCUAAAAUAUAUUUUUUGUAAAAUGGCUAAAUUGAAAUUACCAAAUAUUGGAAUGGAAGAAUUCUGACCUCUUUCAGCUUUUCCUAAAUGCAGGGUAGGACUGUUUUAUAAUGAAACAGAAUAAAGUUUCUUACAUAUAUUGCCAUUCAAGUUUUAAUUUAUUUACAAGAGAUUAAUAUUUCUAUAGCUUUUAGUUUAGUAUCUGUCCUAAGCCAGUUCCCUCUGCUUUUCUAGGUGGUAGAGUGUAUCUGACAGUAAUGACAAACUACCAGACAGCAGCCAGAGUGUAACUUUAGCACUUACUGAUCUUCUGCAUUACAUAAUGUCAUCUCUGGUUCUGUGUUUUUCUAUGUACAUGUGUAUUAGAGUUUUAAAAGCACUGUACAGCAGAAGUGCUUUCCAGUCCUUUCUGUCUUUGCACCUGUAUUUGUGCUCCAGAAUAGCUCAUGUGUCGUGUAAUAUCCAGCAGGCAUGUGCUAAUCUUGGAAAAGGAGUGUGAGAACUACUGCAGCACCCUGCAGCCUCUUCCCAAUUCAUGCCUCCAACUCCCUCUGGGAGCAGGGCAAGGACAAAGCAGGGGGUGAGCCUGUGUCUUGCCUAAAACUGAAACAGUACCGGGGUGCACUAAGGGAAAAUGAAUGCUUUGUGGGGCUUGGCGUUCCCUACUGGGGAUUACCCAGCUAAUAGAAGACAGAAACAGUGCUAUUUACGCUGCAAUACACUUGUCGUUUGCUUAUGCUCAAUCACCUCAGCUUGCCACUUCAACAUAGCAGUGGACCCAUCAAAUUUUGGCUGGUUAACGUAACUUGGGAUAGCAGGUUGAUCUGGCCAAGUUGUUUUUCUCACCCAGAUGCUCUGGGUUUUAUCCUGUAGCUUACUGUGCUCUUCUUAAAUGCUGACAAAGGCGGGGCAAAGGCAGAGGUCACCAAACAGCAAAUACAAACAGGGCACAGGAGCAGACCAGAAACAAAAUCAUUGUUGAUGCUGUCAACCAAACAUAGGUUUAAUCCAAAUCACACCAAAAAGAGUAAAAGUAGUGCCUAGAAACUUUAUUCUGCAACUGAAGCCCUACAACCACCACAAGGAUCAAAGUUAAUUUGAUUUUUUGAAUACCCAAGUCUGUUCGGUGUGUAGAUUGGAAAAAGUUCUCUGUCUGCAAAACGAACAGCGGAAGUCUUCGACAUUACUGAGAAUGAGCACGGUAUUUUUGUGGUCCCCUAACUGGCACAAUCAGAAGGAUUUAGACUCAUUGCACUAAAAAUAAGAAGAAAUCAAAAAGUCAGAUCAAGUUCUCAUUUCUAAGGAGGAAAUACCGUUUGUUAAUCAGUCUGUUCUCUGAGCAUGCACUCAGAGAUUUAAAUUGUAAAUUUUAUCAUCUUCUUCCUUUGCCUGCUCUCAAAAAUCAAAUCAGCGUUAGCAACAGUCCAAUACACUUAAUGCUGCAUUAAAAAAUAUGAGCUCUUUUGGGCAUAACAGGAUUACAAACUGCUCUGUGGUAACGUGUUGGCUGUCAGGGCUGAAGCUCCUGCUCUUAUCACCGCACUGCUGGCUGGCUGUGGGGCAGUCGGGCUCUUUCUUUGGCUUGGAAAUGGGCAGUGUCACACACACUGCAGCACCAGUCUUAGGUCUGCGCGUGACAGCAGCACUGCUUUACCCACAGCCAGUGAAGCAUGACAUAAGAAUUCUCCACUCCUAACCUGCUCUGUCUUCUUAACACCGAAAGCACAGGGAAAUGCAGCAGUUCACUUGACAAAGCCUGAAUUAGAGGUGGCAAUAUUCUUUCUGUAAUCCGUCAGGUGGAAAACUAUGGAUUAGAAAGCUUUCAUUUGCUCCCUCACAAAAUGAGAUAUAUGCCAAGCUUUCAGUUUGGAUCUCUUUAAAUAUAUAUAUAUAUAUAUAUUUUCUUCAAGCCAAUUGCACUAAAUUGUGUGAACUUUUGCUUUAGGUCCAGACCAUUUGUAAUGUAACUUGAAACAGAAGGGGCUGCACAAUAUUUCUUUUGUUCUGGUUUUAUGAAAUUGGUUUGAAAAUGACAAUAUAUUUAACAAUUACAUUUUCUGCAUUUUACUUUAAAACAAAGAUGGAGAAAAAAAAUUUAUUCUCACUAUUUUUUUUAUAUUUUUUUUUUACUUUGGUGAUGUGGUAAAAGCAUUCUUGUUAAGCUUCCUCCUAUGAGCACAAUACCAGAACUAUGUUGUGUCUUAUGACUGGGCCAUUUCUGCCUUUUCAAAAUAAAUUAGUGUGCUUGUACAUCUGAGGCUUUACUAUAAAUGACAGCUGCUACAUUAUAUUUUUUCUAAUUGGGAAGGAAAGCCCAUAUGUAAUGUUUGUGUCUUCUUUUCGCUAACAGUCACAAAACAUGCUAAUUUGCUGAAAAAAAAAUUGCAUUUUAAACAAAGCUGCAAGUAUUUUGAAUAGAAAUGCAGAUUCUCCUUAUUUUUUUUUUCUGGAAACCUGCAGCAUCUGCUUUGUUCAGCAAUAUGUUAAUGAGAUCACUUCAGUAUUUUUCUAAUCAGAAUAAAAUCAAUGGAUUUGGGGACAGUUCUCGUGCUAGCUCUGUAUAAGACAGUACGUACACAGUGAUGCUUACAGGGUGAGUUUCAUUAACCUUACUGGGGCUAGUGAAGAAGGCUGACAGCACACAAACUUAGGAAGAGAUUAAUGCAUUGCAGUGAUGAGAACCCUAUGGGUUGUGGGUGUUUUUUUGUGUGAGCCAGAUCUCUGGGCAAAAUCUAAGCCAUUUCAUAGCAUGCUUUGAUUUUUCAUUUACCAUGCAUGCAUUUUUAACAAUUUUGCUUAACUCUAUCCAAGUGUCCAGUUUAGACAAUCUAAACACAAUAUUACAUAGAAUGGCUUUGUAAAGUGGCA
Cygnus olor (mute swan) is the source of this 4277-nucleotide long non-coding RNA. RefSeq lists it as uncharacterized. The transcript has 4 exons. Lineage: Eukaryota; Metazoa; Chordata; Aves; Anseriformes; Anatidae. The record is from RefSeq and is a predicted model, not a curated record.